GUCCACGCAGUAAACGAUGAAUACUAACUGUCCGGGCAGAUUGAUGUCUGGGUGGUACAGCGAAAGCGUUAAGUAUUCCACCUGGGGAGUACGCCGGCAACGGUGAAACUCAAAGGAAUUGACGGGGGCCCGCACAAGCGGAGGAACAUGUGGUUUAAUUCGAUGAUACGCGAGGAACCUUACCCGGGCUCAAACGACGGAUGAAUGUUUUUGAAAGGAGGCAGUCCUACGGGACAUCCGUCGAGGUGCUGCAUGGUUGUCGU
This 263-nucleotide ribosomal RNA is filed under the name uncultured bacterium. RNAcentral's name for it is "partial 16S ribosomal RNA". It matches the Rfam family "Bacterial small subunit ribosomal RNA", at positions 793 to 1055 of the family's 1533-position model. The record is from RNAcentral.